This 484-nucleotide ribosomal RNA is filed under the name uncultured bacterium. RNAcentral describes it as "partial 16S ribosomal RNA". It matches the Rfam family "Bacterial small subunit ribosomal RNA", at positions 29 to 507 of the family's 1533-position model. The record is from RNAcentral.
AUUGAACGCUGGCGGCAUGCUUUACACAUGCAAGUCGAACGGCAGCGCGGGCUUCGGCCUGGCGGCGAGUGGCGAACGGGUGAGUAAUACAUCGGAACGUGUCCAGUAGUGGGGGAUAGCUCGGCGAAAGCCGGAUUAAUACCGCAUACGACCUGAGGGUGAAAGCGGGGGAUCUUCGGACCUCGCGCUAUUGGAGCGGCCGAUGGCAGAUUAGCUAGUUGGUGGGGUAAAGGCCUACCAAGGCGACGAUCUGUAGCUGGUCUGAGAGGACGACCAGCCACACUGGGACUGAGACACGGCCCAGACUCCUACGGAAGGCAGCAGUGGGGAAUUUUGGACAAUGGGCGAAAGCCUGAUCCAGCAAUGCCGCGUGUGUGAUGAAGGCCUUCGGGUUGUAAAGCACUUUUGGCGGGAACGAAAAGGACUGUGCCAAUACCACGGUUCGAUGACGGUACCCGCAGAAUAAGCACCGGCUAACUACGUG